AGGAGCCUGGUCUGGAGGCAGGAGGAUUGCGGCAGUGACUUCUCAGGUCUACUGUGGGCUUGGGCAGAUCUGAAGGAUGCAGGGAGAGCAGAGCCGGAAUCGGAAUGUGAGCGGCUCGCCAGUAGGUUUUCCUAUUUUUCUGGGCACAAGGCUCAGCUCCUCCUGGCACUAGUCCUCGCUGGGGCCCUGACUCCAGCUUGUUAGUUUUAACAGGAGCAAUUUCCUUUGAACUCAGUUUGAAUUAGCAUCACCAUGGCGAUGGAUGGGGUUUUCACAAGUCGACCUGGUCUUCACCUCUCAAGCAAUUAGUUCUCAGGAGAAAAGGAGGAGGAGAAGGAAAAGGAGGAAGAAAAAUAAAGGGUCUGGGAAGAAAACAGGAAAGGGGGAAGGGGAGGAGGGGAAAAGGAAGAAGAAAAGUAAUAGCUUUGGGGCAAGUGGAAGAUGAGAAGACGGAAUUCCCGUGACUACAGGAAGGCUGGAGAGGAGACGAGAGGAAGCGGGUGACGAGAGAGAGAUUCAGACUAAAGGAAGAAGAUUGCAUCCCAUCAGGCUAAGCCAGGGACCUGGAUACCCCAAGGCCUUCCCUUCCCACCCGCUCCCUGUGCACCACCUACCGGGAGAAGCACGGGAGAGCUGGGGAUCCCUCCUGCAGCAGCAAGAAAAGCACUGUUUUAACUCUCUCUAGAGGGAAAAUGACAUUGGAGAUUCAACCAGCACUGCAGCAAAUCUGAUGACUUCUAUUUUUUUUCCUUUUGCCUGCCGCCCAGCCCACGCACAGUCCCCCUCCAGGCAGGAUGCCUACCUUCAGCCCUUACCUGGGAUCAGGUAAGAGACAAGAGAAGGAUCUUACCAGGUACAGUGACACACAUCUGUGCGACCAGCUACUUAGGCUGUUGAGGCAGAAGGAUCACAAAUUUGAGGUCAGCCUGAGCAAUGUAGUGAGACUUUGUCUCUAAAUAAAAAGAGCCGGGAUGUAGCUCAGUGGUAGGGUGCACCUGGGCUCAAUAUAAAAGAGAAGGGAAAAGAAAACAAAAAAAAAGGGAAAGGGACUAAUGGCAGUGCUGGCUUCUCCCUCAGUUUGAGGUGGGGGAGGUAAAGGGAAGGGGUGGCUGUGUGCGAGGUGGCCCGUCCCAUCAGAGACCCAUGGGACAGAUUCCACAUGCCUCCGUGGGGUCGCUGCUGGCCUGCCUGUCAGCUUUCUCAGUUCCUUGGAGCUUCGUGAAGAUAGUGACUAGGUCUGCAUUGUUGUUGAAUUCCCAGGCUCUAGCACAGUGUCUGGUGCGUGUCACACAAGCCGUAGGCAUUUUCCAGGUGAAUCAGUGAGUGGAUUAACAAUGACUACUUCCCCAGAAGGAAUAUAACAACACUCUCAGAGUGAAGAAGAGGGGAACAGCCAAUCAGAAGCCAUGAGAAUUUAACGGAGAGAGGAUUUCUAUUGGAGACUCAGUCCAUGCCCUCCUCCAGGAAACCCUCCUGAGUGAGCCACUCCCCUCAUGCCCCUCCCCAGCUCUCCAUAGACCCUCCAUGGUCUGCAGCUCCGGAAGUCACCCCUGUCACCAUGCACUGUGAUUGCUGAUUUGUUCCCACACCUCCCCAGCUAAGUGGGCCCUCAUGGGAGCAGGGACUGUGUCUGAUUGCCAGUUCUUUGCAAUCUCUGUGCAGUGUUCAUGCAUGAAGGCACCUGAGCCCAGCAUAGGGGCAGGUCUCUGGCUCUCCCAGGCCAGUGGAGGCAGCCCCAGGGAAACAAAUGUGUAAACCAUGCAACACGGCGUGCCCAGGGGAAAACAGGCUGCAAGAGGGUGAGGCAUGGGGGCUGCAGAGAGCCAACGUAUGUCUGUUCUGUCCAGAGCAAGAAGAGGUGUCCCCGAUCACCACUCAAUGCUCUGUCUGUUGAGAAUGUGCAGCCUCCUCACAGGGAGCCUGCUGGUUGCAGGAAGGUUUGCAGACAGAAGAAAGACGAAGCAUCCUGCCUCCCACACAGACUCUGAGGAAGGACCUCGGCUUGGAAAAUGUCACUGUCAUAAUACUAGCAUGCUCCCUUUUGGUGUCUUUGUGAUUCCCUCCUGUCUCUCUGAGUCAUGUCACACUCACCCCACACACUCCCAGCAACGUGAAAAGCCAAGAGAGAGGGCUGAGGGUUCAGCUCCAGCCCCUACUGCUCCUGGCCAGGCUGGCAUCGUGUCAGAUUUUAGCAAGUUACACGCUGUUUUGAGGUCUCUGGUUCCCCAUCUGUGAAGUGUGCAUAAUGAUAGCCCCGGCCUGCUUUUCUUUAAAAAGGGAAUAAAACAAAACAAAACAAUAAAGCUAAUCAGAACAGACCAAUGAAGAUGAUACAGGACUUCAAAACAAGAUAAUAGGGAAUCAACAAUGGCUAUCAUAAUGUCUCUUGUUUUCUUCAAAAUAGCUGCCCAUAUCAUCAGACAUAAUAAAAUCAAAACAAAAGAAUGAAAGCAUAUUUUAAAGAAAAUAAAACCAAACCAAAUAAAACAGAACAGUCAUUUAAAACAAAACAGUGAAAAUGAUAUAGGAUUUCAAACAGGAUAAUAGGAAAUCAACAGUGGCUACCAUAAUGUCUCUUAUUAUCUUCAAAAUUGCUGCCCGUACCAUCAGACAUAAUAAAAUCAAACAAAACAGAACAGAAUCAAGCCAAUCCAAACAGAACAUUGAAUAAAACAAAACAAUAAAAUGGAACAAAACAAAACAGUGAGAACAAUGUUGGAUUUCAAAAAGAAGACAGAAGGAAAAAUCCCAUAUUUGUUGUAAUGUUAUCCUCUUAAUAGAUGCUCAGAAUACUGGUUUCAAGCCUGCAAAGUCAAUCAAACAAUACCAGCAUUAAGUCGUUUGAUACGUCAGUUGCUAGGAACUCAGCCUGUGCUCCGAAUCAGGCAGUUGCUGGGGGUGAGGGGACAGUGUUCUUGUCUCCUAGCCCACAUGCUGGUUGGCUCACGGGAAGGGUAAACUGGCUUCUUGUUACUCCCCUCAGAUCCAGGAAGACUGACAGGGCUUGGUUCUCCUCCUGGGCCAUGCAUGGAUUCCGCCAGCUCUUGGGAAGUGUGAACUGGCUUCUUAUUAUUCCUCCCAGGCCCAGUACGGCUUGUACCUGGUCUGCUUUUUUAAUGAAACUGAGACACAAAAUCAUAAGGAACCCUGCUGCAAAGCUGCCGUGCAUCAAAUAAGAGGUGAGAAUGUUUUGAAGACUCCAGUGGAGUUUUAAAGUGUUCCUAUAUGAGUUAGAAAAUUCCACAAUUGUCCACUGAGGAGAGACCGAAAGCUAAGGAGAGCGAGGUGGGUACAGGUUGGAAAGAAGGGGUGGGAAGCGCCCUGGGAAGACAGUCUGGGCAGCCAGUCUGGUGCUAGGCCAGAGGGACAGCCCCAAGAGGACUGGGAAGGCCAGGGAGAUAGAAAAUUCCUUAGGCUUGGAGGCCACUCUGGGGCAGCCUGUGUGAGGAUGGAGUGUUUUGAAGAGCAGCACCCAGCUGCCCUGGAGCCUGGGAGAAUCCUGGCCUGGACUGAGAAGUGGGGGUUUGGGAUCCAUUUCUGGAGAAGCCAGGGAGAAAGGACGCCCCAUGUGAGCCUGGAAGGGCCUGGCAAAGCAAGCCCUGUCGUUUCCCCCUCUAACACCUCCGCUCCUCAGCCUCAGCCCCCCACCCCUGGGCAUCCUACAGCAACCCUAAAAGUGGGCCCCCGGGCCCCUUUUGCUUCCCUUCUCUCUCCACAUCCCCCACCCCAGCCCCCUCUGCUCCCCUGAGGAGUGAAUCCAGAUCCUGAACUGGAAGCUUCUUCACAGGAAUCUGGGGGGCCUGGGGCUGAGGGAGGAAGAAGAGGCCUGAAGGAGAGUGGCGCAGGAGGGGUCACCAGUGGGGACCGACAUGGGAGGCUCAUGAGUUCCUGGUGGGAGAGGGGAAAGCUGAAGAACUGAGUGUCACAGAAACUGUGAAACUCUCAGAAAGAUGUGGGGUGCAGAAACAGAAGAAGAAUCCAGUGAGACUGGGGAAACCUACAGAGGGCACAUGGAGCACCUCUGCCUGGGAAGGGCAUGAUGGGAAGAUCGGGGACCUUCCCAGGCUGGGGAGUACCCAGGUCUCCCAGGGGAGGGCAGGCCUUGCCUGAGGUUGGGUGAUGGGGCCCUGACUGGCUUGAGAUGUGAUUCUGUAGGUGGCUGGCAGUGAAUCACGCCUUUUUGUGUGUCGCAUGUUUCUGUGUGGGCGUGCUGAGUCAGUGUGUGCUGUCUUGCAAGUCUGAGGCUGUGGGUGUUACUUGUGGGUGACAAAUCCAAGAGUGCUGUCCCCAUGCGCCACAAGGGGCCCCCAGAACCGGAGGAGCCAUGCUUGUGUGAGCCGGUAUAGUCACACCGUCCCUUCUCUGUGCCACGUGGUUCUGACUGUGCCUCCACAUGGCCUGCUGCAAUCAGGGGUGUGUCUGCAUGUGUGAGUGUGUGCACACAAGGAUGGCCACCUGUAGAGACAGGAGCCAGCUCUGCCGUGACGAUCCUGCAUAGAUGGCUGGGCACCUCUGAGAAGGCAGAAGCGAUGGUCAGGCAGCUCCCAGCUCCAGCGAAAUCCAGGUCCUGGGUUUCCAGCUGUCCCCACUAAACUGGGCACAGAUGUGUGAGGCUUUGCUGCAGCCAUAAACAGACCUCCCAGGAUUUUUCCAGAGGAAAUGCAGAAAUAUUCUGGUGUCUGCUCUGGGCAGGAAGAAAGAGAGUGGGGCUGGGACUGCAAACCCGAGAGCCCCUCAAAGGCCAGCAGAGGGGGAAGGGCUUUGAUGGCUUCCAGCUGUGGAGGCCUCAGGAGGCCCAGCCUGCAGCUGUGAGAGGGCAGGCCCAGCUGCCAGGGACACCAGGCCCCUGGGGCCCAGGCUACCCCUGCUCCACUCUGCCCUGGGCCCCUGCAUACCUCAGGACACACGGACAUCACCGUGACCCUGCCCCCCCCCCACACACACAGGGCACACACUACGCAGACCGCCAGCCCCACCGCCGCCUCACCAUCACGUAGACACACACUUGCUCCCUCACAUCCUGUGCCCACAGCUCACAGCCGCAAUCACAGACACCCCACACACCCUCAUGAAAAUCACCAGCCUUCCCACAAGUACCAGGAUCCCACACGGCGGUCCCCACACCCCAUCAAAGUACAGAUCCCAGGACGCCCCCACCCUGCCUACACCCUUCCAGGCCUUUCUAAGCCACAGAAUAGGCAUGGUGUUGUUCUCAGCCCCAUGUCAAAGCAAACUGAUUAGAAGUCCAGAAGAACUGGACACAUUCCUAGCCUAGAUCACCUAAGUGACUUUGGCUGCCAUCACCGCCUCACCUGGAGCCGGAAGAUGGAUUCUCCAGUUGAACUGCAACACCCUCGCCUCCACCCUCACCAGGGAUAGAAGCAGCUCUGUCUUCAGCAAAUGACCCUGGGGCUCAGCCCUGGUGGCGCUCUGCCCCUGGUGUACUCACUGAGCAGCUGGUCUGUGCCAGCCAGGCAUGUGCCAGGCCAGAAGGCGGCUUGGGCCGGAAGAAAUGCUUGCUACACCUUCAGAGCCCCCAGCUCAGCAGCAGGGAUGGGGCUAACCUGCUCCAGGAGCCACUCCAUGCCCUUCAAGGAAAGGGGGCGACAUACUGUGGGGCCGAGCCACAGUGAGAACACUCAGGCCCGGAAAUGAGAUGGGAGGGCCCCUAGGGGAGGUGACUUGUGGCAGGCCUGAGCAGUGGGCAGCAUUUGUCCGUGCAGGUCAUGGGGGACAGUGAAGAAGUGGACCGCACUGCUGGCCUCCAGAACACAAAAGCCCAUCACCCCGUUUUGCUGUAUUCCAGUAAUCUCACUUUAUUUUGUUUGCGUGAAUAUCUGUUUUUAUCUGUCUCCAUCUCUAGAAUGUAAAUUAAAUGACAGCAAAGCCCUCAAA
Long non-coding RNA from Cavia porcellus (domestic guinea pig), 5895 nucleotides. RefSeq lists it as uncharacterized. Lineage: Eukaryota; Metazoa; Chordata; Mammalia; Rodentia; Caviidae. The record is from RefSeq and is a predicted model, not a curated record. The transcript is spliced from 3 exons.